GAUGAACGCUGGCGGCGUGCUUAACACAUGCAAGUCGAACGAUGAAGCCCAGCCUGCUGGGCGGAUUAGUGGCGAACGGGUGAGUAACACGUGAGUAACCUGCCCUUGACUCUGGGAUAAGCCCGGGAAACUGGGUCUAAUACCGGAUAGGAGCGCCUGUCGCAUGACGGGUGCUGGAAAGAUUUUUCGGUCAUGGAUGGACUCGCGGCCUAUCAGCUUGUUGGUGAGGUAACGGCUCACCAAGGCGACGACGGGUAGCCGGCCUGAGAGGGUGACCGGCCACACUGGGACUGAGACACGGCCCAGACUCCUACGGGAGGCAGCAGUGGGGAAUAUUGCACAAUGGGCGGAAGCCUGAUGCAGCGACGCCGCGUGAGGGAUGACGGCCUUCGGGUUGUAAACCUCUUUCAGUAUUUAAGAAGCG
RNAcentral lists this ribosomal RNA (424 nucleotides) under Micrococcus sp. oral taxon F54. RNAcentral's name for it is "bacterial SSU rRNA". It matches the Rfam family "Bacterial small subunit ribosomal RNA", at positions 28 to 452 of the family's 1533-position model. Lineage: Bacteria; Bacillati; Actinomycetota; Actinomycetes; Micrococcales; Micrococcaceae. The record is from RNAcentral.